UACGGAGGGUGCAAGCGUUAUCCGGAUUCACUGGGUUUAAAGGGUGCGUAGGUGGGCAGGUAAGUCAGUGGUGAAAUCUUCGAGCUUAACUCGGAAACUGCCAUUGAUACUAUAGAUCUUGAAUUUUCUGGAGGUAAGCGGAAUAUGUCAUGUAGCGGUGAAAUGCUUAGAUAUGACAUAGAACACCAAUUGCGAAGGCAGCUUACUACACAGUCAUUGACACUGAGGCACGAAAGCGUGGGGAGCAAACAGG
This 253-nucleotide ribosomal RNA is filed under the name uncultured bacterium. RNAcentral describes it as "partial 16S ribosomal RNA". It matches the Rfam family "Bacterial small subunit ribosomal RNA", at positions 524 to 776 of the family's 1533-position model. The record is from RNAcentral.